This 253-nucleotide ribosomal RNA is filed under the name uncultured bacterium. Its description in RNAcentral is "partial 16S ribosomal RNA". It matches the Rfam family "Bacterial small subunit ribosomal RNA", at positions 524 to 776 of the family's 1533-position model. The record is from RNAcentral.
UACGUAGGGUCCGAGCGUUGUCCGGAAUUAUUGGGCGUAAAGGGCUCGUAGGCGGUUUGUCGCGUCGGGAGUGAAAACUCAGGGCUCAACCCUGAGCGUGCUUCCGAUACGGGCAGACUAGAGGUAUGCAGGGGAGAACGGAAUUCCUGGUGUAGCGGUGGAAUGCGCAGAUAUCAGGAGGAACACCGGUGGCGAAGGCGGUUCUCUGGGCAUUACCUGACGCUGAGGAGCGAAAGCGUGGGGAGCGAACUGG